AUGAUUGUUGUUAGAGAUUUGUUCACCGGGUUUGGGGGUGGGGGGAGCAGCAGCCUGGCCCAGAGGGAGGCCUGCUUGUCACACGUGCACAUGUACACACACACACACACACACACACACACACCCCUAGCAUGGUGCACACACAGGUAUAUAUCCACAAAUGCCUGUUAUAGUCAGGCCCUGGAACAGCAAUUCGCAGUAGGCUGGCAUGCUCUUACCCUAGCACACAAACAAAACAUUGCCCACACACACCAGCAUUCAGUCGCAAACACCACCCCCAGACCAGUUUCAAAACCCACACAGCAAGCUUGCAAGGAAAGGAAAAUAGGUAAGCCAGUGGCCCAGCCAGCGCACAUCACCGCUUCCUGCCCCAGUGGAGCUGGUCCACGGAGUCAUCUCAGCCACCACCCCAAAGUUCACUCGCUCUUCCUUCAGGCCACCCCAGCGUCUCUGGGUCUCUCUCAAGCCAGGAGGCAGGUAGGAAGCCCAUCCAGAGAGUCCUCUGGAGCUGGCAAGUAUAUUUUAAUUUACUGUUUGAUGGCAAAUAAAGAGACCUUGGGAAAAAAGGGAAGGAGCAACUGUGCCCGGCAUCCUCCCCACCGGCCCCUCCUUUGGACAUUGGCUUUCUCCACGAAACAGUGCACUGUUGUUCUUGGACAACCAUUCCCCACCAUCUCUGUUCGAAGGGUUUGAGUUUCACCCUCCGUUCACCCCCAUUAAUCACCCCAGCAGCUAAACAUCACCCAGCCCCCUCUGGCCCUUUCUCUUCUUCUUGCCCUUAGUAUUCAUGGCGGGCAUUCCUCACUGCUUCGGGCCUCACAAAGACCCCUCCUCUGACACAAGUUCCCUCCCCGUCCCAGCCACCCGGUCCUGAUGAUGGGCUCUGCUCAGCGGUCCUGGUCCUGCUGUUCUCCGACUGCCAGCUCCUUCCCACACCCUCCUUCAGGUACCUCAGCCCUUCCCCACAGACUCUCUCCAGCCUCUCCCACCCACCACCACUCUUUCCUUCAUGCCCCAUCCACGUGUAGCCCCUCUCUACCCUUUUCCCUUCCUUUUCCCCAAUAUAUUCCCUAGGACCUUCAGAUACCAGCUAGGAAACACUUCCCUUCCAGCCUUGAGAAACUGAGGAGCUAAAAGCAUGGGUUUUGGAUUCAAGUCCCAGCUCUGUCACUGGCUGGUUGUACGACCUUAGGCAGACUGCUUAACCUGUCUUAGAUAUCCAUAAAAUGGACAUACCCACUGACCUUAUGGAACAGUUGUGUGGAUCAGAUUAAAUUUUAUUUGCAUGGAUCCAAGCAUUCAGCAGGAGCUUGAUAAAUGGUGGUUAUUAAUAUCAAGCUUCUUGUAAGGAGGGAAAAGGAUGCUCUUCAGAUUCCAAUAAAAGUGAAGGAAUUGCCUCCUCUAGCA
Molecule: long non-coding RNA, 1407 nt
Organism: Bos indicus x Bos taurus (hybrid cattle)
Lineage: Eukaryota; Metazoa; Chordata; Mammalia; Artiodactyla; Bovidae
Source: Ensembl